Molecule: unclassified non-coding RNA, 334 nt
Filed under: soil metagenome
Description: partial contains 5.8S ribosomal RNA, internal transcribed spacer 2, and large subunit ribosomal RNA
Rfam family: 5.8S ribosomal RNA (bases 1-120)
Source: RNAcentral
GAUGAAGAACGUAGCGAAAUGCGAUAAGUAAUGUGAAUUGCAGAAUUCAGUGAAUCAUCGAAUCUUUGAACACACAUUGCGCCCGCCAGUAUUCUGGCGGGCAUGCCUGUUCGAGCGUCAUUUCAACCAUCAAGCCCUGCUUGCGUUGGGGUCCUGCGGCUGCCCGCAGGCCCUGAAAACCAGUGGCGGGCUCGCUAGUCACACCGAGCGCAGUAAUACAUCUCGCUUUGGGCGUGCGGCGGGUUCUUGCCGUUAAACACCCCCUUUUUACCAAGGUUGACCUCGGAUCAGGUAGGAAUACCCGCUGAACUUAAGCAUAUCAAUAAGCGGAGGA